RNAcentral lists this ribosomal RNA (440 nucleotides) under uncultured bacterium. RNAcentral describes it as "partial 16S ribosomal RNA". It matches the Rfam family "Bacterial small subunit ribosomal RNA", at positions 338 to 795 of the family's 1533-position model. The record is from RNAcentral.
CCUACGGGGGGCAGCAGUGGGGAAUCUUGCACAAUGGGGGGAACUCUGAUGCAGCGACGCCGCGUGAGUGAAGAAGGAUUUCGGUAUGUAAAGCUCUAUUAGUAGGGAAGAAAAUGACGGUACCUGACUAAGCAGUCCCGGCUAACUACGUGCCAGCAGCCGCCGUAAUACGUAGGGGGCAAGCGUUCUCCGGAUUUACUGGGAGUAAAGGGAGCGUAGACGGCAGAGCAAGUCUGAUGUGAAAGCCCGCGGCCCAACUGCGGGACUGCUUUGGAAACUGCCCGGCUAGAGUGCAGGAGAGGUAAGCGGAAUUCCAAGUGUAGCGGUGGAAUGCGUAGAUAUAAGGAGGAACACCAGUGGCGAAGGCGGCUUACUGGACAGUAACUGACGUUGAGGCUCGAAAGCGUGGGGAGCAAACAGGAUUAGAUACCCCAGUAGUC